CGUGCCCGGUGCCCAGCGCUCCCGGCGCCGGGACCCUGCGGGCACCGCGCUCCUGCCGCGGCCAAACUUUUCCGCACAUGUGGUACUUCCGAGGAGGAACCUCUCACAAACAAAUGUCACGAUCUUGGAAUAAAAAGUAUAGUUGCGCAGAGGCUACAAACAAGGCUCUUUUUAAUAUCUCGUCUAUCCAGCGAUACACGUACGCUGUGGGUAAAUGGGCGAGCCCCCUCCCUCCCCGCAGCAUUCGGUACAGUAGAUUUUGAGAAAAAGACAAACGAAGCUAUCAGCGGGGAUGAUGUUGAAGAAUGAAGAUAAUAAUGUUGCUAUAGGUGGUACUUCACAUGACAUUAUUUUUCACUGAAUAUUUAAAGAGAUGUUUCGGCAGAGAUGGAUACACUCAGCGCAGGCUGUCACCCUCCGCACCCUGAGACAGUGGGAAAGAAACCGAACCUGAACGCGCAGAAACGCACUCCUUACUCACUGCUAGCCACACGCAGAUGCACACAAAAUACCCACGCGGAUCUAUUUGCACAUUUAUGCCUGUAUUUCUAACUGUAUCAAUCACUCCAUUAGCUUCCUACGGUUUCUAAGCUAGACGAUCUCCCAGAAUUAUUCGCGUUCACAAUUUCAUUAUACUUUUGCCGAUUAAGCUUGAGACAAAUUUCCCCAGAUGCGCAGUACCUUUGCUUCGUGGCUGGAAAAAGGCUGCCGUGGACAGGUAAUUAAAAAAGCAACAACAGCAACAACAAGACGAAAAAGAGUAGCUUAAAGAAAAAGAAAUUAAUUUGGAGAAAUUAAGUUUUACAACUUUUUUUUUUCGUUUCUCUUCUCCUCGCUAGUGCUAAAGCGGCGCCUGGUAUUUCAUCCAAGACCGAUUGAUUAUUUAUUGUUUGUUUUCCUCUCCUUCGCUGGGGGCCGGGAGGGGUGGGGAAUGGGUGGGGGCAGAGCAGCAGUGCCAGGGCUAGAGAAAAAUCGGUCUUUAUUGUUGUUGAUAGCAAUACAUCAAUUAAACGUCAUUGUCUCUAACAGAAGUUGUGAGAGUUCACAAGCGUAAAUACUCUG
This 1062-nucleotide long non-coding RNA is filed under the name Geospiza fortis (medium ground-finch). Its description in RNAcentral is "lncRNA (ENSGFOG00000014813.1)". Lineage: Eukaryota; Metazoa; Chordata; Aves; Passeriformes; Thraupidae. The record is from RNAcentral.